GACUCAGUGAAUAAUAAGUAUAGAAAAUGACUGAAAGCAGGAAAUCCACAAAGUACCACAACGCAAAGCUAUAACUAACAAUCCUAUAACUUCGGUACAGGCUAACGACAUAAUAGUAUCACAACAACAACCAAGCAUUAGAUAAAGAUGCAAUGCAAUGCACAUGAUUUCACCGCGGAACGUGCAGCUCGAUCCAUUUAACGUCGACGGAGCUCACUGGGGUGUGUACAGACUCCGGAGUAGCUCUUUAAGCCCAAGCGCAAAUAUCAAUAUAUAUCCGCUGCGGAUCGUGCAGCCCGACCCAUGCUCAGUCCAUAAUAUGCAUAUGAGUCACUAAACAGAUUCAAUCUAGUUUCCCUUUUUUCGAUUAUUAAGGUGAAUAUAAUUUGAUUAUUUAAUUUCAGGAAAAGUGACUUAGCAUUUCAAUUUCAGUGUUUAAUCACAGAAUUGAUCAAUGAUUAUGAAAUCAUGUCAUAACACAGAUAUUCACCCUAGACGGGUACUACAGAUCGGCACAAGGCCCCAAGCAUGGCAUUAAACCCAAUUAUCAAAGACACAAUGUGCGUAUCAGACGCCAAUAAUUUAUCUAGCUCACGGGAUGGACCAUGUCACAAAUUCCCAAUCAUAUACAACCCCGCACCUGCCAUGGGGUGCGAGUCACGCCCUAAAAUAGCGUCACGAUGUGAUAAGCCGGGGUUUCAAACCCUCAAGCCAUCA
This 717-nucleotide long non-coding RNA is filed under the name Nicotiana benthamiana. RNAcentral's name for it is "long non-coding RNA (NBEN_LNC014460)". Lineage: Eukaryota; Viridiplantae; Streptophyta; Magnoliopsida; Solanales; Solanaceae. The record is from RNAcentral.